RNAcentral lists this ribosomal RNA (253 nucleotides) under uncultured bacterium. RNAcentral's name for it is "partial 16S ribosomal RNA". It matches the Rfam family "Bacterial small subunit ribosomal RNA", at positions 524 to 776 of the family's 1533-position model. The record is from RNAcentral.
UACGGAGGGUGCAAGCGUUGUUCGGAUUUACUGGGCGUAAAGCGCGCGCAGGUGGGUGAACAAGUCGGAAGUGAAAUCUUGAGGCUCAACCUCGAGGCUGCUCCCGAAACUGUUCGCCUAAGGACUGGUAGAGGCUGGUAGAAUUCCCGGUGUAGCGGUGGAAUGCGUAGAGAUCGGGAAGAAUACCUGUGGCGAAGGCGGCCAGCUGGGCCAGAUCCGACACUGAGGCGCGAAAGCGUGGGGAGCAAACAGG